GGCGUGAUGCCGGAGUGGUCAUCGGGAACGCCUAGAAUUCGUUCUAGUCCAUAGUGGAUGACAGCGUUUGGGCUCUGCCCGCACAGGUUCGAAUCCUGUUCACGUCG
Molecule: transfer RNA, 107 nt
Organism: Tilletiaria anomala
Lineage: Eukaryota; Fungi; Basidiomycota; Exobasidiomycetes; Georgefischeriales; Tilletiariaceae
Rfam family: tRNA
About the family: Transfer RNA (tRNA) molecules are approximately 80 nucleotides in length. Their secondary structure includes four short double-helical elements and three loops (D, anti-codon, and T loops).
Source: Rfam